Molecule: long non-coding RNA, 6488 nt
Organism: Homo sapiens (human)
Lineage: Eukaryota; Metazoa; Chordata; Mammalia; Primates; Hominidae
Exons: 2
Source: RefSeq, a predicted model, not a curated record
UUGUUACACAGGUAAACGUGUGCCAUAGUGGUUUGCUGUACCUAUCAACCCAUCAUCUAAGUUUUAAGCCCCUCAGGCAUUAUCUGUUUAUCCCGAUGGACUUUUGACUCUAAGAACAAUGAUUUCACCAUACAGCAUUGCCUGUCUGUGAGGGGAAUUUUUUUUUUUUUUUUUUUUACAUUAAGGGGUUUGUGAAUGUGAAUUUAUUUGCUUGCCCUAACUACUCUUAUCUCUUCUGGAUUGUUCAGAGGUGUUUAGUUCCCUCAUUACUUCAAGGUUUGCUGCUGCAUAUUCUCCUCUUGCCCUUCACUAUAGGUUCUCGGUUUGAAAGGAAACACAGCUCACUGUGAGAUGCUUAAAUCAAAAGAAUCUGGUUUCUGGAAAUGUCAUUAUUUUAGGAGGGAGCACGGGAGGUAGAGAAGGAAAAUAGUUUAGAUUCUUGUGGGGAAAUGGAAAGCAAGAGGAAAAAUAGAUGUUCUGCUCAGAAAGGAAACUUCUCUAGGUUUUAAAAAUCAGUACGUGUUAAUUUUGCUAUAUUUUCUCUAGCAGUGGGAUUACUGCAUGAAUCUUACUGGGAGAAAGAACGGUUGCUCUAAACCAAGUCCUCUGUCAGUGAAGCACAGGCCCUCCUUUCUUCACUGAUCCAGACCUACCUUUCUACUGCCAACUAAAGAAUGAUGAGAUUCAAAAAUUUGGAAAGGAGAGCUUUAUUUCUCAUAAAGUGUUGCAGCCUGAAAGUGGCCAUUCUUCUAGGUUUGGAAGCAUAGCCUCCCACCAGAAGCCAGAAACAGAUACUUUGAGAGAGGGGCAAAGGGAUCAAGAAUUUAUACUGAGCAGAGUGGCCAAAUCUACAUAUUCAAUAAGCUACAGAAAGACUCAUGAAUAUUAAUGAAAGGAGAAACAUGUACAUGUACAAUUGAGCUUCAUGCCCCUUCUUGGGUCUCAUGUGCAAAAAGCAGUGGUGUUAGCAUGAUCUGAGGGUGGAGUGUUUGGCCCUCUGAUGUCAAAAGGUGAAGCAGAGGACACAAAGACCCUUACUGUGCAUUCUCCAUAGACUGGCCAAAACCACUCUGUAGUCGGUGGUGUCUCAUCAGGCAAAAAGGAGGGGCAGCGUCAGAUGGAUGUUGGACAUCAGUGGUGGAGUUCUUUGAAAGGGCCGGUUUCUCUUUAGUCUUUAGGGAAGAAAAGCUAAUGGUAGUUAGCGAGGGAGGAGGUCUAGCAAGGUGUGUCCAACUUCCUAUCCCUCGUCAUGGCCAAGAACUUAGUUUUCAAGAUUAUCUUGGGGUCCCCUUCGCCAGGAGAGUGUCCAUUCAGUUGCUUGGGGGGCUUAGGAUUUCAUUUUUAGUUUACAAUACUUUAGACAUCUCCUGAUGGUCCAUCGUAGGUCUGUUCUCUUUUGUAUCUCUUUUAGAGAUAUUAGUUUUCUUGGGAUGGAUAUAAGGAAUGUGGCUGUGACUCAAUCCUUCAUUAUGAUUAGAAUAAUAAAUGCUGAGGAUCAAGGUGUAAGCCUUGGGACAAUCAUAUUUAGGUGAUGGGAGGAAAAAGUGCUGUUUUAUCAGGGGAGAGAGAAAAAGCACUUAGAGAGGAGUUGAUGAUAUGUAGGAUGUGAGACUGCCGUGGAUAUCAGGGAAGGGAGACUUAUAAGAAGGAGAAAUUUGGUCAACUGUGUCAAAUGCUUCAGCGAUCAGGAUGAGUAAUGAGGAACGGCCAUUUGAUUUGAUUUGAUCAUUCAGAUAUCUUUAAAGACCUUUAAGAGGGCAGUUUCAGUAGAGGUAAUGGACUGGAGGAAAGUAAUAAGGAUGGUGAAGAAAUAGAGGCGGUAAUUAUUUUGAGAUAUUUGGUUUGUCAAAAUCAGAGAGAUUUUAUCAUAUCUUGAAGAGAUGUCAUAUUUGAAAGAAUUUUUCUUUAAUUUAGUUGAGAAAUAAGUAUUUUUAUGGGCAAAAAUUAAAGAUCUAGUUAAGAAGGAGAUUUUGAAGAUGUCAGAGAGCAGAGAUAAUUGAUAGGUAAGUGUGUACCGAUUUUGAAGAAAGGCUGAGAAUCUAAUGUCAAGAUCACACUGAGAAAACUGUUAAUAGUAUUUUUCUUUGUAUGGUUAUGUUCUUUUUUAACUUUUAAUUUCUUCUUUGUUAUCUUUUAUAUCUUCUAGAUUUUCUAUAACAAGCAUCUAUAACUUUCAAAUUUUUAAUAGCUCUUAAAAGUUAAGCAGAUUUAAAAUGAUAAAACAUGUUCAUGACACUAAGAAACUAUAAAAACAUAUAAGAUGAAAAUUAUAACUUCCCACAUGCCCUAAUAUUUUAUUUCCAUUUCUUUAAAGCAACCACCAUCAAAAAUUUACUUGGUAAUCUGGGUGUGGUGGCACAUGCCUGUAGUCCCAGUUACUCAGGAGGCUGAGGCGGGAGUAUCACUUGAGCCCAGGAAUUUGAGACAAGCCUGGGCAACAUAUUGUGACCUCUCAUCUCAAAAUAAAUUUUUUUUUCUUGGUAGCCCUUCAGUAAUUUUUUAUACACGUAUGUUUUAAAAUCAGAAAACUGUAUUGAAAACUCAUUAGUAAAGAAGUUAAGCUUGAAAAGGAUAAUACCACCUGGCUUAUGAUUUUCUGAUCCCUCUUGAAAGACUAAUAACAUGAGAAGAGAAGAAUGUAAAUAGGCAUAAACUUGUAAGAAUGAAGAUAGUGGAAGAGAAGAAAAUAGCAGACAAAAGACAUCAACAAAAUAUUAGGAGGUGAAAAACAGAUGGCCUAGUGAUAUCUGAUUAGGAGAGUACAGAAAUCUACAACUUCAGUACUCACAACACGGGAAGCAGUAAAAGGAAGUCAGUUCUGUUGCAAAUUCAGUGCUGAUGUCACUAAAACCAGGAAGAUGGGCUGGAAGUGUGUCUGCUCUCCCCCUACCCACAGGUGCAAGGAGUUGCCCUUUCCCAUCUGUUAGAAGACUGGAGAUGAAACAGAGAGGCACUGGACUUGGGACAUUAGCUGAAGACAGGAAAGGUCGUAUCCUGAAGAGAGAGACCUCAGACCAUCUUAUCACCCGGCUGGCAGAAUGUUAGCAACUAGGCUUAAACCAUACCAAGAUAUUGGAGGGUUUCUUUCUGGGGAGAUUGACUAGGCCAAGAGAAAAGACUGCUGUUAUGUGGAGACUGACAUUUGUGAAAUGGCUGAGUCCCCGUGGAUCAACCUCUGAUGAAGCCCAGCGCUUGGUAAUUACCACCCAAGCAUAAAGAUCUUUCAGUCAGCUGUGUAGUGCCUCAUUCUCAAAUGUAAAUGGACAGCUAUGGAUCAGUAAAUAUUUCUAGAAAGCCUCUCACAUAAAAAAACAGAGACCAAACAAAGCAUUAGAAAAAACACAGAAAACAGACAAGCAGGAGGCAGAAGAAUACAGAACAAAUGAUAUAGUUAUGAUCCUUCCAAAGAAAAUAUACUGCUUUCACAAAGGGUAGGAAUCUGUGCAAAUAGAACCCUUUGAAGCCAAGAAAGACUUUUUGUUCUUAAAAAAUGUGAUAGUAGAAAUUAAAACAUCAACAAAUGGAUUAGCAAAAUAAUGUUUAGGAAAUCACUCCUGAAAGGACAGAAAGGAAAAAAAGUGAUAAAAAUGUGAGAAGUAUGGAUAAUAGGAGUUCCAGGGAGAGAAAUAUAAAAGAGAGGGCAGAAGUUAUUAAAGAAACAAUAAAAGGCUGUUUCCAGAGCUGAAGGACCUGUUUUCUGGUUGCAAGGGAACACCAAGUGUCCAGCACAAUGAAUAUAAAAAGACAUAUCCAAGGCAUAUUAGUGACAUUUCAGAAUCCUUAAGUUAACAUCUUACAAACAUUUAAAGAAGAAAAAUCAUUAUAAUAAAAUGGUUACUUCUAAGAAUGAUGUCAGAUUACUGAAUAGAAACACUGAAAGUCAGAAAACAAUGAAUAAUGGCUUCAAAAUCUAAGGGAAAUUAUUUCUAAACAUUCUGGAAUUUUGUUACCCAGCCAAACUAGGAAGUGGUUUCAACAUCCAAAGCCUCAAAAAUUGUACUUUGCUUGUACCCUUUCUCAAGAAAGAAAUAGAUUGUAAGCUAUUCCAAAAUGAGGGCAUACUAAAAAAAAGAAAGAAAGAAUAAGGUGUGAACCCUGAAUAUGUGAGACAGGUCUCAGUUAACUUAGAAAGUUGAUUUUGCCAAGAUUGAGGACGUGCCCAUGACACAGCCUCAGGAGGUCCUGACGACAUGUGCCCAAGGUGGUCAGAGCACAGCUUGGUUUUAUACAUUUUAGGGAGACAUAAGACAUCAAUCAACAUAUGUAAGAUGUAAAUUGGUUCCAUCCAGAAAGGCAGGAGAACUCAAGCAGGGAAGGGGCUUCCAGGUCACAGGUAGGUGAAAGACAGUGAAAAAGAUAUGACCUAACUGAUUCCAUCUUGCUUCUAACCUCCAAGCUGUCUUUGUUCAUUCCUGGACUUUCGGAGGAACUUAGUUUAUAGUUUAGUUUUGAAACAAAGAUGAUGAUAGUCCUUUCCCAAAACAAACCUUCUUACUGCCUGUGGACUAGACUGCCCAAAACCACAAGAUUAGAAGUUAUGGUAAUUUUACUAAAUAAUUCAAGAUGUAGCUAUUUUCAUUAAACCAAUAUUAAUGUCUUAUUUAUUAAAAAUUACCCAAGCAAAGAUCAUUCUGUUUUGGGCUGGGUUUAUAGUUAGGUAACCCCAAUGCCAAAUUUUGACACCUUAUAGAAUUUGCCAGGGAUAAGUAUGAGAUUGCUUGGUCAAUAAAUGCAAACAAAAAUGUAUGCUAGGCUGGGCAUGGUGGCUCAUGCCUGUAAUCCCAGCACUUUGGGAGGCCGAGGCAGGUGGGUCACCUGAGGUCAGGAGUUCGAGGACAGCCUGACCAACAUGGUGAAACCCUGUCUCUACUAAAAAUACAAAAAUUAUCUGGGCAUAGUAGUGGGCGCCUGUGAUCCCAGCUACUUGGGAGGCUGAGGCAGGAGAAUAGCUUGAAGCCGGGAAGUGGAGGUUACAGUGAGCUGAGAGCACGCCAUUGCACUCCAGCCUGGGAGACAGAGCAAAACUCCAUCUCAAAAAAAAAAAAAAAAAAAGUAUGCUGGAAAUUCUUAAGACAAUUCUAAUAUUACCGUACCUGUAAUUUUAAAGCUAGCUUAUUUAUUAAAGAUUCUACUUAAGUCAUGUACACUUGAAAAAGCAUUUGACUAGUCUAUCCUUUUUUCUGAUAAAAUGUUUGAUUUAAGCACUUUUAUUUUUCUUUAAGCCCAUUCAUUAGAGCUCUUUUAUAUAUUUUUAGCAGUGAAACAUUGUGUACACAGCACAUAAAUAAAGAGAUAUAUUAGGCAUACCGAUAGAAGUACAUUUAUAGAUUCCUAAGACCUCUUCUUUUGUGUUUUUCCUAUCUUAGACUUGCAAACUCUUGAUAAUCUGUUUCAUCACUCUGGCAGUUGUCAGCUAAAUAGCCCUAAAUCUGCAUAUUGAAGGAAACAACUCUUAGUGAAAAAUCAGAUAGCAAAAUUUACAUCUCAAGGUACUGAAAGAAAAAGUCUGGUAGAGCUGGAGAGAGAUUAAAGAUGGAUGUCAAGCACAAAAUUAUACAAAUCUACCAUAGGACUGUAAGAGGAGACCAGUUUUAUUUAGAUAGGGACUACUUGUCUUUUAACUGGAUCUGAGCUCUGGGCAGAGCCCACAUUGAAUCCUGGGUCUCCAAAAAAGGAGAAUUAUUAUGAGGCUAGACCAUGUGAUGCUUUUACAGUGCACUUUAAAAAAGGUUUUUUUAAACAAAGACUUUUCUGAGUGUCUAAACUACACUCUCCCUAAAAACCUGAGAGUAGCCUCUGUUGCAAUAAUUAUUUUAGUCAAUAAAUCAGAUAACAAAAUACAAAAGCAAAUAGUUUAAGAGUUGAGAUGAACUGGUCUGUUUAUGCUCUUGGGAUUCCAUAAGGAAAAACCGGUUUCUCCCCCAAAGGGAGUCUGGCACUUUCUCUGUUUUCUUUAAGGCUGUUAUAAACUAUUUUAGGUUCCUCAUUCAGCAGAGGGUGCAAGAGAAAGAAGAGACAGAAGAAGUAAAUGAAGAAAACAGAAUUCAGUCAACUGAGAAGAAAAAAACUUUUGCUCAAAAAAAAAAAAAAAAAAAAAGAAAAAGAAAAAGACAAGGUCCUAGGAGAAAAAAAAUGCCAACAUGAAGGCCUUUUAAAUACAAACACAUAGACACACAUGCAUACAUUUUUGGAUGUUAGCUUGUAAUUAAGCUGACUUUUAACCACUGAGCUCCUUAAAAAAAAUCUUUUUAAAUCUUAUGACCGUAGUUCAGCUGGAACAAAUUGCUGUUAUUUUAGAAGUACCAAGUAUCAAACCAGAAAGGGCUUGAUUUAGGAAACAAACCCAGGCUAUUGUGGUGGAAAAAAAGAUGGCAGAACCCUUAGCUAUGGAACAGCAGCGUGAGACGACAGCCAUUGCUCUUUUGGUUGGCCUGACUAGCAAAAAGGUGGCCUUGUUAUGUAAAUAAAGCCUUUUAAGUAGUCAAAAA